Molecule: ribosomal RNA, 429 nt
Filed under: uncultured bacterium
Lineage: Bacteria
Description: partial 16S ribosomal RNA
Rfam family: Bacterial small subunit ribosomal RNA
Source: RNAcentral
UGGGGAAUAUUGCACAAUGGGCGAAAGCCUGAUGCAGCAACGCCGCGUGCGGGAUGACGGCCUUCGGGUUGUAAACCGCUUUCAGCAGGGACGAAGGUUUUCUGACGGUACCUGCAGAAGAAGCACCGGCUAACUACGUGCCAGCAGCCGCGGUGAUACGUAGGGUGCGAGCGUUGUCCGGAAUUAUUGGGCGUAAAGAGCUUGUAGGCGGUCCGUUGCGUCGGAAGUGAAAACUCAGGGCUUAACCCCUGAGCCUGCUUUCGAUACGGGCGGACUUGAGGGAUGUAGGGAGAACGGAAUUCCUGGUGGAGCGGUGGAAUGCGCAGAUAUCAGGAGGAACACCAGUGGCGAAGGCGGUUCUCUGGACAUUUCCUGACGCUGAGAAGCGAAAGCGUGGGGAGCAAACAGGCUUAGAUACCCUGGUAGUCC